RNAcentral lists this long non-coding RNA (1233 nucleotides) under Pogona vitticeps (central bearded dragon). RNAcentral's name for it is "lncRNA (ENSPVIG00000002892.1)". The record is from RNAcentral. Lineage: Eukaryota; Metazoa; Chordata; Lepidosauria; Squamata; Agamidae.
UGGCUAUUUAGUCAAACAAACCUAGAUGUUUCCAAUGUCUGGGAUGAUCCAUAGUCACGUCAUAUGUUCCACAUGUCAUCAAGCAGUGAGAUGUUUCAGGAUAACUAUCUGUCUCUGAGUUGAUUAACUUGCAUGUGUAUUUAGGAAUUUCCUGUUUCUGGGUAAAUUGCAAGCAGUGAGAUGUUUCAAGCACAAAACUAAGGGGGUUAGGUUUCUUUUGAAAGGAGACUAUGGCAAAGUUAUGGCAUCUUUCUCACUUUGUUAUGCGCUGACAAGUUGCAUCUGACUUCCAGUGAUACUAAAAGGGUUUUCAAAGUAGGUGAGAUAUUUAAGGAGUGGUUUUACCAGUGAUACCCACCCCUCAGUGAGUUUCCUUAGCCAAGUAGGCAUUCAAACCCAGGUCACCUGAAACUUUAUAUUUUACACCAGGCUUGUCCAAUGUAUGUGCGGCCCAAACCAAAUGUAUGUGCGGCCCAAACCAAAUGUAUGUGCGGCCCAAACCAAAUUUUCAUCUUCUAAUGUGGCCCAGGGAAGGUGAAAGGUUGGACACCCCUGUUUUACACCAUUCGGCUCUCAAUCAUUUAAAAUAACAAAAAUAGAUCACAUCUGGCUUACUUGAAAGGAGAGAAGUAUCCAUGAAAACAAACAAACAUUCCUUCAAUGACCCGCAUCAACAUUAAUCUUGUACAUAAGAGUCUUAGACUGGCCGUUUGUUGUAGAUCCCAACCCCAUCCCCUGCUGGAGACUUCAUCCCGAUUUAGUUCUCUCCAGUGCUAUUUCAGUUUUGUCCAAAUUAAGACUCCUGCUGCUUCUGUCACUUGCACACAGAGAUAUCACAGGCACUGUUCCAAAUACAAAUCUUAUCUUUUGAUUAGGGAUAGACCCAAACAUUCUCAACUGUUAAGAUCUCAAGUAUAGCAAAACCGUUCAAUGGUUUUCAGGGAGUGUAUAUUUCACAGUAUGAGUGGCAUUGACUGAGAUGUGGCUCUGAGACUAGAAAUUAUAGGCCUUGGUUCUUUACUAAGAAAUCUCUCAUCUAUCAUCUACAUAGUGCUAAAGUACUACAUUAUGGCAGCAGUUUCGAACCCAGCUGUUCUUGGACUGCAAUUCCCAGAGGCCUUCACCAACAGCUGUGCUGGCUGGGGUUUCUGGGAGUUGCAAUCCAAGAACACCUGGGUUGCCCAAGGUUGGGAACCACUGUUUUAUGGCAUGAUGGGACUGCCUUUUGGAUAA